This 740-nucleotide ribosomal RNA is filed under the name Granulomelon sp. S FC-2015. Its description in RNAcentral is "partial 16S ribosomal RNA". Lineage: Eukaryota; Metazoa; Mollusca; Gastropoda; Stylommatophora; Camaenidae. The record is from RNAcentral.
CACGAAACAAGAUGAGCUAAUAUAUGGCAAUUUAAGAUUAGUGGUAUGUUACAUAAUACGCCGUUGACCAUAUAUUAGGGGUGAUAGGCUUACCAAAUUUUGAGAUAACUUGAUGUUUCUGAGAGGUAUUAAGUACGUUUCUAAUUAAAAAGUGCCAAGAUUUUUUAAAAGUAUUAAUUAUUUAUAAGAUUGUAAAAGGUCUAACGAUCUAUUUUUUAUUUAAAUUAACAUUUUUUUAAUAAUAUUGUAAUAACUAAGAAACUAUAUUAUAACAAUUUAAAAUAUUUAUAAUGUUAUUAUAAGUAAUUUAUAAUCUAUUAUAAAUGAACUCGGCAAAAUAACUCUCAGCUGUUUAUCAAAAACAUCGCUACUAGUAUAUUUUAGUAGUCUUUUCUGCUCAAUGAAAUUUAAAUAGCCGCAGUACCCUGACUGUGCAAAGGUAGCAUAAUCAGUUGGCUUAUAAUUGAAGUCUUGUAUGAAAGAAUUUAUGGGGGUUAACUGUAUCAAUAGUAUACUAUGAAAUUGCUUAAUGAGUGCAAAUUCUCAUGUUUAAAUAUUAGACGAGAAGACCCUAGAAAUUUAUAGAAUAGCUAAAACUUUGUUUUUGUUGGGGCAACAAAGUAACAAUUAAUUUACUUUUGCAGUACAAGAAAUUUGUUUGUAAGUUUAAAUUACUCUAGGGAUAACAGCGUAAUAUUGAAAUGUUUGCGACCUCGAUGUUGGAUUAGGAAGCGAGGGCU